AGAAGUAAAAGUCGUAACAAGGUUUCCGUGGGUGAACCUGCGGAAGGAUCAUUACUAAAAAACAAAACAACAAAAACCCCAAAACCUUUUUUUGUGUGAACCAAAAUUUUUAUAGAGAGAGAGAAGGCAAAGAUUGUGAGAGAGAAUCUCGUCGUCUUAUAAAUUUCUCUUUUUCUAUAAAUUUUUUAUUAUAUAUAACUCCAUUAUUUUUUAUAUUAUUAAUAUAGUCUAAGACACUUUUUUAUUUAAAAAAAAAUAAAAAAACAACUUUUAACAAUGGAUCUCUUGGUUCUC
Molecule: unclassified non-coding RNA, 294 nt
Filed under: plant metagenome
Description: partial contains small subunit ribosomal RNA, internal transcribed spacer 1, and 5.8S ribosomal RNA
Rfam family: Eukaryotic small subunit ribosomal RNA (bases 1-54)
Source: RNAcentral